Molecule: ribosomal RNA, 275 nt
Filed under: uncultured bacterium
Lineage: Bacteria
Description: partial 16S ribosomal RNA
Rfam family: Bacterial small subunit ribosomal RNA
Source: RNAcentral
ACUCCUACGGGAGGCAGCAGUGGGGAAUAUUGGACAAUGGGACGGGAGCCAUCAUCCAGCCAUGCGCGUGUGUGAAGAAGGCCUUAUGGUUGUAAAGCACUUUAAGCGAGGAGGAGGCUACUAGUAUUAAUACUACUGGAUAGUGGACGUUACUCGCAGAAUAAGCACCGGCUAACUCUGUGCCAGCAGCCGCGGUAAUACAGAGGGUGCGAGCGUUAAUCGGAUUUACUGGGCGUAAAGCGUGCGUAGGCGGCCAUUUAAGUCAAAUGUGAAAU